AACGAACGCUGGCGGCAGGCUUAACACAUGCAAGUCGAGCGCACCUUUCGGGGUGAGCGGCGGACGGGUGAGUAACGCGUAGGGAACGUACCCUCUUGCUCGGGAUAACCACUGGAAACGGUGGCUAAAACCGAAUGAGCCCUACGGGGGAAGGAGAGGAUCGGCCCGCGUCGGAUUAGGUAGUUGGUGGGGUAACGGCCUACCAAGCCUACGAUCCGUACCUGGUUUGAGAGGAUGACCAGGCACACUGGGACUGAGACACGGCCCAGACUCCUACGGGAGGCAGCAGUGGGGAAUCAUAGACAAUGGGGGAAACCCUGAUCUUGCCAUGCCGCGUGGACGAUGAA
Molecule: ribosomal RNA, 347 nt
Filed under: uncultured Paracoccaceae bacterium
Lineage: Bacteria; Pseudomonadati; Pseudomonadota; Alphaproteobacteria; Rhodobacterales; Paracoccaceae
Description: bacterial SSU rRNA
Rfam family: Bacterial small subunit ribosomal RNA
Source: RNAcentral